UACGUAGGGUGCGAGCGUUACUCGGAAUUACUGGGCGUAAAGCGUGCGCAGGCGGCUUCGCAAGUCAGACGUGAAAUCCCCGGGCUUAACCUGGGAAUGGCGUUUGAAACUACGGAGCUGGAGUAUGGCAGAGGGGGGUAGAAUUCCACGUGUAGCAGUGAAAUGCGUAGAUAUGUGGAGGAACACCGAUGGCGAAGGCAGCCCCCUGGGAUAACACUGACGCUCAUGCACGAAAGCGUGGGGAGCAAACAGG
Molecule: ribosomal RNA, 253 nt
Filed under: uncultured bacterium
Lineage: Bacteria
Description: partial 16S ribosomal RNA
Rfam family: Bacterial small subunit ribosomal RNA
Source: RNAcentral